GACAGAGGUGCCGAGCGUUAGGCGGAAUCACUGGGCUUAAAGCGUGUGUAGGCGGAUUUUUAAGUACCUUGUGAAAUCUCACGGCUUAACCGUGGAACUGCUGGGUAUACUGGAUAUCUUGAGCCAACUAGGGGCUACCGGAACAAAUGGUGGAGCGGUGAAAUGCGUAGAUAUCAUUUGGAACGCCAAUGGUGAAAACAGGUAGCUGGGGUUGUGCUGACGCUGAGACACGAAAGCCAGGGGAGCGAACGGG
Molecule: ribosomal RNA, 253 nt
Filed under: uncultured bacterium
Lineage: Bacteria
Description: partial 16S ribosomal RNA
Rfam family: Bacterial small subunit ribosomal RNA
Source: RNAcentral